Molecule: ribosomal RNA, 118 nt
Filed under: uncultured bacterium
Lineage: Bacteria
Description: partial 16S ribosomal RNA
Rfam family: Bacterial small subunit ribosomal RNA
Source: RNAcentral
UGAGGAAUAUUGCGCAAUGGGGGAAACCCUGACGCAGCGACGCCGCGUGAGUGAGGAAGGUUUUCGGAUCGUAAAGCUCUGUCAGAAGGGAAGAAGUGUUAUCCGGUUAAUACCCGUA